RNAcentral lists this ribosomal RNA (401 nucleotides) under uncultured bacterium. RNAcentral's name for it is "bacterial SSU rRNA". It matches the Rfam family "Bacterial small subunit ribosomal RNA", at positions 355 to 773 of the family's 1533-position model. The record is from RNAcentral.
CAAGGAAUUUUCGUCAAUGGGCGCAAGCCUGAACGAGCAACGCCGCGUGCAGGAUGACGGCCUUCGGGUUGUAAACUGCUUUUCUGGGGGACGAUCGUGACGGUACCCUGGGAAUAAGGCUCGGCUAACUCUGUGCCAGCAGCCGCGGUAAUACAGAGGAGCCAAGCGUUGUCCGGAUUGACUGGGCGUAAAGCGCACGCAGGCGGCCGCGCACGUGGGGUGUGAAAUCUGGCCGCUUAACGGCCAGGCGCCAUCCCAUACGGCACGGCUGGAGCCAUGCAGAGGGCGGUGGAAUUGCCGGUGUAGUGGUGAAAUGCGUAGAGAUCGGCAGGAACACCCAGGGGGAAACCAGCCGCCUGGGCAUGCGCUGACGCUGAGGUGCGAGAGCGUGGGGAGCGAAC